UUUUCCUGGAAACCAGGAAAGGGAAUAACAUUCGAAAUGUAUAUAAGAAAUACUCAAGUUAAUUAAAAAAAAGUUUCCCAUUAAAAUGUUCUAAGUGAAAGCCACAAGUUUCUAUACUCUUUAUUACAUCAGUAGCUUUUUAGUGUAUUUUUCAAGUGAAAACCAGUCUUCAACUGGUACCCUUUAAAACUUCAGGAGCUCCUUCCAGUACCUGAUGGAAUUAGGAUGCCCCAUUCUGUGUGGGGUGUUUUCAGCAAAGGCCCCUGUAUUGGACUCAUGACUGCUAGCAUUUGUUCCAUCCGGAAGACCUAGUUUUACAGGAAUGCCCCCAAAAUUCACUCUUCCAUCCUCUCUGACUCUGCUCAACAGCAGCACUGGAGCCUUGGAGGCUAGGAUGCUGGUUGAUUUUAAGCAACUCUACAAAAUGUGGAUAUAAUCUGGGAAAAGUGAAUCACAGUAGAGGUAUCUUCUCCAUCACAUUGUCCUGAGGGCAAGUCUGAAGCUCAUUUUUUUGUGAUUGAUGUAUAAUUGCCCUGCUAAGUGUAAAAGACAAAAGAGAGAACCCCAAAUGGUCCAGCAUGAUGAAUGGGUAAACAGAGUUUAUCAUAUUGAUACAAUGGACUAGUCUCUAGAGAUGGACAGAGGCAUUGACAGUAUCUUAUGAUAAAAGAAGCUAUUAUUUAAUGACCAAGAAAGGGGAUAUUUCUAUAUUAGAUGACUUCAUUUUUGUUAAAUACGCAAAAUGACCUGGUUCGUGGGGGCAUAGAAAUUUAUCCCAGCACUCAGGAAGCAGAGGCAUGUAGAUUUUCACGAGUUUGGGGCCAGCCUAGUCUACAGAGGUAGAUUCAGGAGAGCCAGAGCUACACACACUCAAACACACACACACACACACACACACACACACACACACACACACAGACAGAGAGAGAGAGAGAGAGAGGGAGAGAGAGAGGGAGAGAGAGAGAGAGAGAGAAAGGGGGUGGGCAGAGACAAACUUUCUUGAAAAUCAACCAAUUACUCACACAAGGAAUCACUUAAACAAACAAAAACCUCAAAAAACCAGACACCAAAAAACCAAUCAAUCUAUCAAACAAUGUCAGAAGCAACAGCAGCAGCAGCAGCAGCAGCAACAACAACAACGACAACAACAACGACGACAACAUCUACACCAAAAACCAACCGAAUGAGACCAAAUGUUAGAUUGGAUUGCAGCCAGUUUACUCCUUAACUCAAAGCAUCCAUGAAACCCAGGCACAUCAUGGGCUAUGGUGUGCUCUACACAUCCUGAUCUUAAGUUCCUAUACUUAAAGUAACACUUCUGUCAUUAAAGAGGGAUAGGCUGAGCUGGUGCCUAACAAGUUGAUAGGGGGUAGGAUCUGGAGGAAUAAAGAGUACCUUCUAAUGGCCACAGAGUUUUCUCAAACUUAAAAUAUUUUUAAAACCAAUAGUAUAAGGGAUGCAUAAUUUAAUGACAUAGUAAGAAUGCACUCCUAGAUUAUAUACUUGAAAAAGAUGAAUUUGCUGCAUAAGUGUAUUACAUACCUGUAAACAUGUUAUUAUUGAAAGAUAAUGCUUCUUUCACAUGUAUGAAUGUUUUGCCUACGUGUCUGUGUGUGCACUAUAUGUAUGUCUGGGCCUGUGAAGAUAUGAGAGUUCUAGAUCGCCUAUAAUUAGAUUUGAAGAUGCCUUUGAGCUUCUUUGUAGGUGUUACUGUAGGUUUCAGGGUUUGAAGCUGACUGAUGUUGAGGAUUACCUUUGCCCUCCAGUAGCAGACAGGUUACCUUCCAGUAUUAUGAACUCUGGUUAGUAGUGUGAAGAGUCUAGUUAGACCCCGGCUCAACCUAUCCCUCCCCCCCCUGUGAUGACAGAAAUGUUAUCUUCAGAAGUCAGUCCUGAACAUCAGAUUGUGUAGAGCAACCAAUAGUCUUGGCACUGGCUUGUGAUGGUCAAGGUUUUCUAUAGGACCCUUUGGGUAAUGACUCAACAGGUUGUCACCCAUUCCUGUUGCUGGAUUUGUAACUUGGUGGCACAAGAUGUCUAGGUGGAGCCUCGUGUCAUGUUAGUUUUUGGCUCCAUAUGUAUUCCAUACAUAUAGGAAGCUAAUAGAGUAGCAGAUUUCCAUUUAAUUUUUUCAAAGGGACUUUAGUGUUUGUUGUCCCUCCCCUUAUUUCCUACUUUACCUAGGCUUGCAUACCAGGGCUGUGGGUGCCUGGUUAAGAAAAAGAAACUGACCCUCUUCCUUAUCAAGUAUGAAUCUGUAUGCCCAUUCCAACAUGCAGCCAGCAGGUGACCAGGAUACACUGGAGAGAGUGAUCAACUCCAGUCAACAUCAUGUUGAUGAAUAUGAAAGGAGGGUAAUGGGGCUUGAAAAAUGCGAGGGAGGUAGAAGUGUGUACCCUUUGCCUCUACCCAUUUCUCCCGGUUCCCUCUCAUUAACCCCUCCUAUUCUAGCUUUUAUCUCUUCCCAACACUAUACACUCCUUCCUCUUCCUGGGGCGAUAUUCUUCUGCUCCCUAGUUCCCUAGUAGAUAGUCAGGAAUCCUGUGUGGUUAUCCAGAUUGUAGUUCUCAUAUCAGAUACUUAAAACCUAACAUCCUUAACAGCAGACACAUGAAAUGUUUGUUGUUUUGGGUCUGGGUUUGCCAAAUCAGGAUGAUUUUUUUAGGUCCAUCAGGCCAGUCUUAGGGUUACAGAUUGCAAUGGCUGCCCUAACUGCCCUCAGUACUCCCUUUGAAGGCCAUGCAAAUAGAUCUACUUCAGCGUCAACAUUGACAGAGCUUUGAACAAGCACUGAGGGGGCUGGGCUCCUAACAGUGGAGUCUGAGGGGGGCACACAUGGAGCAUAAGCAUAGGGUACAGUCCGUAAGCCAGCUCCAUUGUGAGCUCAGAGCAUGUCACUAUGGUGGUGCCAGUGCAGCUGUGUUACUAGGUGAUGAAGUAUAGUUCAGUUAACCCUGAACGAGCAGGUCUUGCCUACACUUCUUUGGCAAGAAUUGGUGAUUUUAGCAAACUCUUAUCGUAUAAUUUGGGAGGUGGAGAUUAGCUAAAUGGGAGGGAAGAGAGGGUAAGAAGGUCCUGGGUGGCCCUAGCACUCCAUAAUGGAGGAAGAUUUUGAAUAUGAUGCUCUGGCAUUGAAGUUCCCCAGAAGGGGACGCUGGUACACCCGUCUGUGGCGCUCCUGUCCUGGUUUUGGAUGCCUGCGUCAAAAGAAAACGACGAAAUUUCCCCUCUAUCUGAUCGGGUAUGAUCCCGUGGGUCGAUUACAAACAGCGGCCUGUGUUGGGGACGUGGAGAAAAUUGAAAGUAUGAUCCAUGAGUGUCAUCAUCAUGUGGAUGAAUCUGAUUGGAGGGGCAGGUAAUGGGGCUUCAAAUUGAUGAGGGGAGUAAAAGGAGGAGGGUAGGAACUGUUAGGGACACUCAGGGCUAAGGAGGAAGACAAAUCAACUUCCAGGGCUACAAUCUGAGGGUAGAGAGUGGUCAUACAUAGGCUCAUUUUCACUGGGGACCCCUGGGUUUUAUACCUGCUAAAUGCUCUUAGUCGUAUGAGACCUCCACACUGUGGAACAGCAGCUCCUAGGCCUUAAUGAAACUACAUAAUUUUAUUCUUAUGUUAACCCUUACAUUUUGUAAACAUACAAAAAGACACACACACUCACACACAUAAAUACCGUUGUUUUGCCUCUGUGUAUUUUCUGUGUACCAUUGUGAUAGAACCUGGUGCAGGAUCCCCUGGAACUGCAGCUAUAGACAGUUGUGAGCUGCCCUGUGUGUCUUAGCAAUCAAACUGAGUUCUCUACUAAACAAAACUAGAGCUGUUAUUGCCAAGACCCCUAUCUAGAUUUUCUUUCUUCUUUGUUGUUGUUUUCUGUUUUUUCAUUUUUAUUAGAUAGUUCAUACAUUUACAUUUCAAUGUUAUAUCCUGUCCUGCCUCUUCCAUCCCACUUCCCACUCCCCCUGAUUCUAUGACGACUUUCUUAAUACAUAAUAUGAUGCAAUAUAAUAAUGUAUAAUAUAAUAUAAUGUAUAUGAUACAAUAUAAUAAUAUAGUAUAAAAUAAUAAUGGAUCAAAGACAUUUAGAACUGGAACUGUGACCAUGCUCCCAUGUAAUCACCUUCUGUACUGUUGUUUUUACAUCGAUACACAUGUGAAGGACAGAGAUUGUCCUCAUCUCACUUCCUGUGCCCCACACGUGUGGAGCUUAGGGUGUGGUGGUCAGAGACAAUGUCGACUGCUAGUUAUGUUGUACCACCAUGGGGUUCUAAGGCCUGAGCUCAGGCAAGCAGGCCUCCCUGUGGGUUCCAGCCCAUCGUCCCUCUGUUCUGGAGACUCCACUCAAGCAAGUCCAUGGUGUGCUUUAUUUACUGUCUUGGAGCACACUGAUCCUCACACUUGUAGGCAAGUGACCUUUGCGGAUCCCCUUAUCCCAAGAUCAGCAGUCAGGUUUUCAGGACAAAUGCUUUACCAGUUGAGUUUUAACAACUACCCCAGCCCCUCAUUCCUUUUUCUCUGUGUGUGUGUGGGUUCUUACCAUGAACCCCCUUGCUCAUCGUCCCUCCUCCUCUUAUAUGAGGGUUCACCCCCACCCGUUUGCCCACUCCUUCCGGAUUCCCUGCCUUAGCAUUCCGUUCCACUGGGGCUAGAGCCUUGGCAGGACCACGAGCUUCUCCUCUUAUUGGUGCCCAACAAGGCCUCCUCUGCUACAUAUGCAGUUGAAGCCAGGGGUCUUUCCAUGUGAACUCUUUAGAUGAACGGAUAUCUGGGUUCUCUCCAGCUCCUGGCUAUUGUAAAUAAGGCUGUUGUGAAUGUAAUGGAAUAUGUUUCUUUGUUUUAUGUUGGAGCCCUUUUUGUGUAUAUGCACAGGAGUGUGUAAAGCUGGGUCCUCCAAACAGAUUUCCAGAGUUGUCCCAGCUUGCUCUCCCACCUACAAAGGAGGAGUGUUCCUCCUUCUCCAAAUCCUCGCCUACCUCUGUUGCCUGAGUUUUGAUCUUAGCCAUUCUGACUGGUGUGGCGUUGAAUCACAGGGUGAUACUGAUUUGCAUUUUCUCUGAUGACUAAAGAUGUUGACCAGUCCUUUAGGUUCUUUUUGGCCAUUUGAUAUUCCUCAAUUGAGAAUUCUUUGUUUAGCUCUGCUCCCCAUUUUGUAAUAGAGUAAUUUGAUUCUCUGGAGUCCAACUAUUUGAAUUCUAUGUGUAUAUUGGUUGUAAGCCUUCUAUCAGAUGUAGGAUUCAUAAAAAUCUUUUCCAAUCUGUUAGUAGCCAUUUUUUUCUAAUGACAGUACUCUUUGCCUUACAGAAGCUUUGCAAUUUGAUGAGGUCCCAUUUGUUGAUUCUUGAUCUUGGAGAAUAAACUAUUGCUGUUCUGUUCAGGAAAUUUUCCCAAGUAUUCCAGGCUCAUGUAUUCUAGGCUCUUCCCCAUGUUUUCUUCUUUUAAGUUGAGUAUAUCUGGUUUUAUGUGGAGAUCCUUGAUUUGCUUGGAUUUUAACUGUGUACAGGGUGAUAAGAAAGGUUUGAUUUGCAGUCUACAUGCUGAGUGCCAGUUGAUUCAGCACCAGUUGUUGAAAAAGCUAUCUUUUUCCCACUAGAUGGUUUUAGUUCUUUUGUUAAAAAUCAAGUGACCAUAGGUAGGUGUAUGGGUUCAUUUCUGGGUCUCCUAUUCUAUUCCAUUGAUCUACUUGCCUAUCGCUGUACCAGUAUCAUAACAUUUUUAUCACUAUUGCUCUGUAAUACAGCUUAAGGUUAGGGAGGGUGAUUCCCCCAGAAUUUUUUUUUCUUGUUGAGUAUAGUUCUCAGGAUCCUGUUUUUUUGUUAAUGCAAGUGAAUUUCCAAAUCGCUCUUUCUACCUCCAUUGGGAAUGGAGUUAGAAUUUUGAUGGAGAUUGCGUCGAAUCAGUAGAUUGCUUUUGGACAGAUGGCCAAUUUUAUAAUGUUAAUCCUGCCAAUCUGUGAGAAUGGGAGAUCUUUCCAUCUUAUGAGAUCUUCUAUUCUUUCUUCAGAGACUUGAAGUUCUUACCGAACAGGAUUUUCACUUGCUUGGUUAGAGUCACACUGGGUUAUUUUAUUUUAUUUGUGAUUAUUCUGAAGGUGUUGUUUCCCUAAUUCCUUUCUUAGCCUAUUCAUCCUUUGAAUAGAGAAAGGCUACUGAUUUGUUUGAGUUAAUUUUGUAUCCAGCCACUUUGCUGAAUUUGUUUAAGGGGGCAUCCUUGACUACUCCCUGAUUUUAGUGGUAUUCCUUCAACUUUCUCUCAAUUUAGUUUGAUGUAGGCUAUUGGUUUGCUGUAUAUUGCUUUUCCUAUGUUUAUAGUAAGCUUUGAAUUCCUGAUUUUUCCAAGACUUUUAAAGGUUAGCACCUCAUUCUUAUAUCCUGUCUUUAUGGUUGAAGGGGAAUCGAUGACACACCAGCAUAUUUUCCCUAGUUCACAUGCUUCUUGAUCAUUUUGUUAUUCUAAGAUGUUAAUUAGUCUUUAAGGUGGAGCUUCAUGUAAAGAAUACAAGAAUGAAGUUUAGUUUUAAAAUAUUCUUCUGUUCAUUGAAUAUUUUCUUUAAAAACACUGAAUUGUCCAAUGGUAAUUUUUCAUUCUGUCAGUCCAUUUAUUCCCCACAUGUAACUUAGAUAUCCCCUGUGUAGAAUACACGUUCUAAUAUCUCUCAAGAUCUUCCCAUUUGUAAAACUUCAUUUCUCUGCCCAGUCAAGCUUCCUUACAUUCUAUAAAUUUAAAUAUAACAUGAAAUGAACAUUACUCUUUGGAACCCUUCUUUCAUUUUACUGAACCUCUAUGAAUCUCAAGCAAGGCAGCUAUGCCACCAUAGGUUAUUACCUUGUAGCAAUAUUUACCUGAUUUUGGUGUGAGUCCAUGGGCACAUUGAUCAAUAUACGGCAAAGCAUGAGGUCCUGGUUUCUAUACCGAGUAUAGAAGUGUUACAUAUGGGCAUAAAAAAUGAAAUGUGAAAAUAAAAAUAAAAGAAAGUAUUGAGGACUGAGGGCUUAUAUUUUGUUCACUGUUAAAAAUGUACAUAGAUGCAAGUGACCGGUAAAAUUGCCACUUACCUGUUGAUUGUGACAUAUUUUGUUUAAUGUAGGCCACAAUGGGUUGCAUGAUAAUUACCUUUAAUUUUGUAAAGUGCUAAAAGUAUUGCUAAUUAUAGUUGUAAAAUAAUAAAAAGGAUAAAUGACCUUCCAUUCUUAGAGAGGGUAAAAUGUGAAUGAAAAUGAAGGUAACCACAAUAGAUAAGAUAGGAGGAUUAAGAAAUGUAAACUUCUUUUAUAUGAAUUUUUUUAUGUGUACUGCUGAUAAAAUCCUGUUUUUCUCUCACAGAAUAGUUCUGUUUGUUAUCACUAGGAAGAGAAAUCAUUACCAUGAUCAGGAAAUGCUGAGCUCUCAGGAGCUGGAAAUGCUUGUUGUGUUGUAGCAGAUUUCUUCCCCAUUCGAACUGAAACAUCAGAGUAGCCCCUAUUAAGAUAUGUUUAAUGUUCAUCCCUUGGAUGGGGACAUGGAGUCAUGGAGCUCCUGAAAAUACCGAGGAGUAACUAGUAAGUUCCAGAUAUUAGAGUAUGAGUUAAAUUCAAGCUGAGAUCAAUUUGGGAACUUUUCUAGGAUUCAGACAGGCUGCUUUGAGCAGCGAAGAAGGUCAGGAUAGAACACCUGCCUUAAAUAGGAAGAGUCAUGUACCAUAUCCCUAGCACAGUAAAUGAACAUUCGAGUAGACCUCAAUAAAUAAGAACAUUGUAGUUACUUUCUUCCAUCAGAUAGAAAUCACCUUCAUAUUAUGUAGUACUUACAGGUGAUGAUAGUCUUACUGGGAAUUCAGAGAUGUUGCUAAAUGUGUUUUCAAUUUGCAGGACAUCGCUGCAUUAUGCGAGUGCCCACAACCAUCCAGAUGUAGUGACACUGUUAUUAGAAAAUAAGUCCAACAUUAACAUCCAGGAUGAUGAAGGCUGCACACCGUUGAUUAAGGUAGCUAUUGGCCAUCUGUUUUGGUAUGAAAUGGAUUAGAGGUGUCCUUGUUUGGUUUCUGUUGUUGUGAGAAAACACAGACCAAAACUUACUCAGGAGAGGAAAAAGUUAUUUAGCUUACAUUUAUUCAUCCCAGUUGAUCCUCAUGGGAAACCUGGUCAGGAACUCAAAUAAGGAACUGGGGGGAAGAACUAAACUAGAGAUCAGGGGAGAAUGCAGCUUUCCAUGGCUUUUACACAGGUUUGGUCAGCUUUUUUUUAUACAACUUUGAACUCAGGCAUGCCCCUACCACAAGACCUUGGGCUUUCCUACUUCUGUCUAAAUAAAAAAAAAUAGUUCCACACAGUGCCCCAGAGGCCAGUCCAAUUCCUCAAGUGAGGAUCUUUCCAGGUGUAUUAAGCAUGUAUCACAUUGGCAAAAAGAACAAAAUCUAAGCAAACAAGCAAUCUCUGCAUUGUGACAGCCAACCAGCACAGACCUGAGUGCUUAGGACAUCUAGGUGGGUUGGUAGAACCCCUUAAUUCUACCACUUGGAAAAAGAUGUGGUGGGGAGAUCAUUAAAUGAGUCAAGCCUGGAGUAUUUAAGAAGACCUUGUGUCAAAAUGGAGGGAAAAUAUGAAUAACUAAAACUCUGUCUGAUUUCAGAGAAACUAUUCAGUGCCAUUGUAGAAAUGUCUCCCUUGGCUUCCUUGAAGUGAAGAUGUAUUUCUUUGUACAAUUUCCACAGGCUGCGCAGCGGGACAACACACAUUGUGUUUGUGUAUUGCUCAGGCACAAUGCUAAUCCAAAUUUGAUGGAUUACAGUGGGAAUACAGCCUUUCACCAUGCCAUUUCCAGGGGCAGCAUAGCAAUUGUAAAGAUGCUCCUGGAGUACAACGUAGAUAUUGAAGCCAAAACAGAGGUAAAGGUCAUUCAACUUCAUUCCCAAUGCACUUCUAGCUACUUCUAGCUGGGACACUCAGACCUAUUUUCUACAUGCAGAACCUCAAGCAUUCUCACUGAAUGUGUUCAGAGGAACGCUUUUUCUCUUUAAAUAUGUGUGUGUGUGUGUGUGUGUGUGUGUAUUUAUAAUUAGUGCCAAAAAACCCACAGAAUAGCAUAUUUUGUCUCAGCGUUGACUUUAAGUUUGAAAUUCAAGAUUAUAGGCUUUAGGAUUACACACAGACACACACAGACACACACAGACACACACAGACACACACACACAUACACACACACAUCACAUCACAUCUACACCAACAAGAAAAAGAAAUACAUUUCAAGUUUAAUGAUUAUAGAAUAUAUAGAACUGGGUUGCUGCUAAGAAGGUAUUGAUGUGUGUUUGGCUCAGGGAUGAGGGCAGACUGGGAAAGGAGAGAGGUGUCAGGCAAAUUAGAAAAUCUGAUCAUUGAGAAAAUAUACAAAACAUUUUUAUGAUUUUCAAAAGUUUUGGUAUUCAUAGAAGAUGCUAUUGCCCUUGGGAGAUAAUUUUUAGUUUAGAAAAGAAAUAUAUUUGGAGUGCAGAUUGAGAAACUCUGCUCCAGAUACCUCUUGAGCACACUCCUUCAACAGGGGCAUACCAAACUUUAUAUUUUGGGGUUGUGUCCAUGGAGGUCCUAGUCUUUGGAGCUAAGAAGAUUGGAACCAUUGAGUGUUUGGGGAAAAUUCUGGAAGGGAUUGGUGUUCAUAUGCAGUGUUGUGUAGACAAAAGAUGUGUCAAAGGGAAGAAGAGAGCUGUGUGUGGAAAGCACAGCAGGUGUUGUAGGAAAAAUGAUGCCUUGUGACUCAGUACAGUGUGUGUUUAUGUUCACAAAAUCUGUGAUGAACUUUCAGUUGAGAAACAAGUUGUUUUAUAAAAUGUAAUAUUGUUUUCUUUACAGUAUGGCUUGACACCACUGCAACUUGCAACAUAUGAAAAUCAGACUGAAAUGAUAAACUUCUUAGAAUCAAUGAGUGCAGAUGCACAGGCCGUGCAAGUGUCAAACAGUGCAAGAACACCAGCACAUAAAAAAGAAGUGAAGCAUGUAAGAUUUUUGGAAGGUAAGAUUUUUAUAUCAUAUAUAAAUUUACUAUAUUGUAGCUGGUCUUAUUCACCCUAGAUAAAAUAGUGCGGACAUUUUAGCUCCUCUCCUACUGUGACCACACAAGGCAGCCCAGCUAGCAGAAAGGAAUCCAAAUGCAGGCAACAGAAUGAGAACCUGCCCUCACUUCAGUAAACCAGGAGUCCACAUGAAGAGCACGUGAAGCUGCACGUCUGCUACCUCUGAAUAUGGGGUCUAUGUGCAGCCCUGACGUGCUCUUUGAUAGGUGGUUCAGUCCCUGUGAGCCCUCAUGGGCCCCUGUUGGUUAAUCUGUAGGUUUUCUUGUUGUGUUUCUGAACCUUCAAUGGCACUGUCCUCCUUUGAAUUCAAUAUCCUUCCCCCAAUUCUUUCACAAGACGCCCCAACCUCCACCUGAUAUUUAUUUGGCUGUGGGUGUGUACAUCUGUUUCUAUCCAGGGCUUGAUGAAGACUCUCAGAAGAAUUAUCCAAGGCUUCUGUCUGCAAGCAUAGCAAAAUAUCAUUAAUGGAGUCAAAGACUGGCUCUCUCCCACAGGGUGGGUCUCAAGUUGGUCCAGUUAUUGGUUUGGUAUCUCCUUAAUGUCCGUUCCAUUUUAACCUGCAUAUCUUGGUGGUAGGAUAAAUUUUGGGUUGAUGUUUUUCUGAGUGCUUUGGUGUUCUCCUCAUUCUCCUGGAAGUCUCCCCUGGUACAGAAGAUGACCACUGAAAACUGCAUAUCACCUGCUGCUAGUAGGCUCUGCAAGUCUCAGCUCCAUAGAUAGACUGCUAAGAGCCCCCAUGGUUCCUGGUCUUUGUUUCACCACAGAGAUGCCUCUCCACUGGUAUCUUCUGUCCUAGCUCCCACACCACACCUGCUCUGCACCUUAGUUCCCCUCCCCAUCCUACAAAUUUCCCUCCCUCAAUCGAAUCCUGAUAUCUAUUUCAUUUUCCCUCCUGAAUGAGAUUCACGCAUCUUCCCUUGGGCCCUCAUUACUUAGCUUCUUUAGGUCUGUGCACUGUGGCCUGGUUAUUCUGUAAUUUAUGGCUGCUAAGGUCCUCACCUUUAAGUGAGUACAUUCCAUGCCUGUCCUUCUCGGUUUCAGUUACCUCAUCCAGUAUGAUGUUUGCCAAUCCCAUCCAUUUGCCUGCAGUUUUCUCAAAUUCCAUGUUUUUCAUAGCCGAGUAUUAUUUCAUUGUGCAAAUAUACCACAUUUCCUUAAUCAGUUUUUCAGUUGUCUCCUGUCCAUGGUUAUUACAAGGAGAGGUUUUAUGAACAUAGUUAAGCAAGUGUGCUUGGGUGGUAUGGUGGAGCAAGUUUGGGGUAUAUGCCCAUGAUUGACAUAGUUGUGUCUUAAGGUAAAAACUAUUUCAAAUUUUUUGGAAAAAAAACCCGCCAAAUUGCUUUUCAAAAGGGAUUUUAGGGGUUGGGAAUUUAGCUCAGUGGUAGAGCAUUUGCCUAGCAAGCGCAAGGCCCUGGGUUCGGUCCCCAGCUCUGAAAAAAAGAAAAAAAAAAAGAAAAGGGAUUUUAAUGUCUCUCCCACCAACAAUGGAGGAAUAUUCCCUUUGCUCAAUAUCCUUGUCAGCAUGGCUGUCCCUUGAGGUUUUGAUUCUGGCUGCUCUGACUGGUGUAGGAUGGACUCAGGGUCCUUCUGAUCUGCAUUCAGUGAUGACUGUAGAUGAGCAUUUGAUGUCUCUCGGCCUCCUGAGCAUCCUCGGCUGGGAAUGCUUCGUUUACCACUGUACACCAUAUUCAGAUUGGUUUAUUGCUGUCUAACUUUUUGGGCUUUUUAUAUAUUUUAACCAUUAUUUCUCUGUGAAGUGUAAGACUGAUGACGAUCUUUUCCCAAAAUGUAGGCUUCUCUUUUGUCCUUUUGAUGGUGUCCUUUGCUUUACAGAGGUUUUUAAGUUUUGUGAGUCCCCAUUUAUCAAUCGUUGAUCUCAGAGGCUGGGACAGUGGUGUGCUGUUCAGGAAAUUGUCUACUGUACCGAUGUCCUCAGUAUAUUGAAGUUUCUGCUUCAAUGUCAAGGUCUUUCAUCCACAUGAACUUGAGUUUUGUGCAGGUUGAGAAAUACAGAUCUAUUUGCAUUCUUCUUCAUGCAGACAUACAGUUACACCUGCACCAUUUGUUGAAGAAACUUUCCUAUUUUCCCCAUUGUGUGGUUUUGCCUUUGUCAAAAUCAUGUGUUGGUAGGUAUGUGUGUUUUUUCUUUGAUUUGAUUCCAUCGGUCAACUUUUUGUUUCUAUACUAAUUCUAUACAGCUUUUGUUAUGAUUGCUCUGUGAUAUGUCUUGAUAUCAGGGAUGAUGAUACCUCCAAAAAUUAUUUAAUUAUUCAAGAUAUCUAUCUAUCUAUCUAUCUAUCUAUCUAUCUAUCUAUCUAUCUAUGUAUCUAUCAUCUAUGUAUCUAUCAUCUAUCUAUCUAUCAUCUAUGUAUCUAUCAGCUAUCAUGGGUUUUUUGUUUUUUAAAAAAUUGCUCUUUCAAGGUCUGUAAAUAAUGGUCUUGCAAUUUUGAAGAGAAAUGCAUUGACUGUGAAGAUGCUUUUUGUAAGAUGGCCAUUUUCACCUUGUUAAUCCUAUCCAUCUGUAGUAUAGGAGACCUUUCCAUCUUCAGAUGUCCUGUUAAUUCCUUUUUCAGAGACAUAAAGUUUUUGACAGGCAGGUCUUUAAGUAGCUUGAUUAGAGUUGUACUGGGCUAUUUAAUGUUAUCUGUGGUUACUGUAAAGGGUUUUGCUUGACUAAAUUUUUCUUAUCCAUUUUAACUGUUGCAUGAGGAAGGGCUGCUGGUUAUUUGAGUUAAUCUUGCAUUCAGACACUUUUCUGUAAGGGUUUAUCACCUUUGGUGUAGGAGUUCUUUGGUAGAUUUUGUGAGGUCUCUUUUGUAUGUGGGCAGCUUUGCUUACUCUCUGGUUUUAAGUUUCUCUGCAUAUAAGUUGUUAGUGUUUAUUGGCUGGUUCAGGUAUGCAAAUUUGAUCACUGAGGUCUCUAAGACUUUUAACAUGAAGGGGUGCUUGAUUUUAUCAACGGCUUUAUCAGCAUCUAAUGUGAUGACCAAGUGAAUUUUUUUGACAUCUCCACCCUUGCCAGCUGCAGCUAUCCAUUCAUUUUCAUGGCUGUCAAGCCAUCUCCCCUGUAUCUCCCCAGACCCGAUCCUGAAACACUCAGUUGUCUCAAAUUUACCCACUCCCACCUAGUUCCUUCCUUCCUCUGCCUCCUCUGAGUAUUUUCCGGUAUGUUCUAAGUUAGAUUCAAAAUCCUCUCUUGGUCCUUUCUUCUUCAUCUUCUUUUGGUCCUGAGUAUAGUAUUGAUAUCCUGUACUUUAUUGCUAAUAUCCACUUAGAAGUGAGUAUACGCCAUCCAUGUCUUUUGGGUCUGGGUUAUGUCACUCAGGAAGAUAUUCUCAAGUUCUAUUCAUUCACCUGCAAAGGUCAUUAUGUCUUUGUCUUUAGUAGGUGAAUAGUAUCCCACAUUGUCUUUUUUCAUUAAAAAAAAAAAACUUCACCCUUGUCAGUUGCAGAUUUCCAUUCACUUUCAGGACCAUCCAUCCAUCUCUCCUCUUCCUUACCCACACCUGAUUCCAAACCCAUCCCAUAGCCCUCCGUAUCUCUUCUCUAUUCAGUUCACUCCCUCCGUCUUCCUCUUAGGACUGCUUUAUGCACUCCUUUAAGUGAGAUUCAGGCAUCCUCACUUGUGCAUUCCUUCUUGUGUAGCUUUUCUGAGUCUGUGGAUAAUAGCAUGGUGUCUGUAUUUUUGGCCAAUAACCAUCUAUAAGUGAGUACAUAACACACAUGUCCUGUUUGAACUCCGGAGGAUAUUCUCAAGUUCCAUUGAUUUACCUGCAAAAUUCAUUCUGCCUUUGUUUGUAAUAGUGGGAUAAUAUGCCAUUUUGAAAGUAUACAUCACUUUCUUUUUUUUAUUAACUUAUGUAUUUCUUAUUUACAUUUCAAGUGUUAUUCCUUUCCCAGUUUCCAGGCCAAAAUCUCCGUAGCCCCUCCCACUCCCCUUCUUUAUGGGUGUUCCACUCCCAUUCCUCCCCUAUUGCCGCCCUCCCCCCAACAAUCACAUUCACUGGGGGUUCAGUCUUCGCAGGACCCAGGGCUUCCCCUUCCACUGGUGCUCUUACUAGGCCAUUCAUUGCUACCUAUGAGGUCGGAGUCCAGGGUCAGUCCAUGUAUAGUCUUUAGGUAGUGGCUUAGUCCCUGGAAGCUCUGGUUGCUUGGCAUUGUUGUUCAUAUGGCAUCUCAUCCCCUUCAAUCUCUUUCAGUCCUUUCUCUGAUUCCUUCAACGGGGGUCCUGUUCUCAGUUCAGUGGUUUGCUGCUGGCAUUCACCUCUGUAUUUGUUGUAUUCUGGCUGUGUCUCUCAGGAGAGAUCUACAUCCGGCUCCAGUCUGCCUACACUUCUUUGCUUCAUCCAUAUUGUCUAAUUGGGUGGCUGUAUAUGUAUGGGCCACAUGUGGGGCAGGCUCUGAAUGGGUGUUACUUCAGUCUCUGUUUUAAUCUUUGCCUCUCUAUUCCCUGCCAUGGGCAUUCUUGUUCCCCUUUCAAAGAAGGAGUGAAGUAUUCACAUUUUGAUCAUCCAUCUUGAGUUUCAUGUGUUCUAUGCAUCUAGGGUAAUUCAAGCAUUUGGGCUAAUAUCCACUUAUCAAUGAGUGGAUACCAUAUGUGUUUUUCUGUGAUGGGUUAGCUCACUCAGGAUGAUAUUUUCCAGUUCCAACCAUUUCCCUAUGAAUUUCACAAAGGCAUUGUUUUUGAUAGCUGAGUAAUAUUCCAUUGUGUAGAUGUACCACAUUUUCUGUAUCCAUUCCUCUGUUGAAGGGCAUCUGGGUUCUUUCCAGCUUCUGGCUAUUAUAAAUAAGGCUGCUAUGAACGUAGUGGAGCACGUGUCUUUUUUAUAGGUUGGGGCAUCUUUUGGGUAUAUGCCCAAGAGAGGUAUAGCUGGAUCCUCAGGCAGUUCAAUGUCCAAUUUUCUGAGGAUCCUCCAGACUGAUUUCCAGAUUGGUUGUACCAGUCGGCAAUCCCACCAACAAUGGAGGAGUGUUCCUCUUUCUCUGCAUCCUUGCCAGCAUCUGCUGUCACCUGACUUUUUGAUCUUAGCCAUUCUCACUGGUGUGAGGUGAAAUCUCAGGGUUGUUUUGAUUUGCAUUUCCAUUAUGACUAAAGAUGUUGAGCAUUUCUUUAGGUGUUUCUCAGCCAUUCGGCAUUCCUCAGCUGUGAAUUCUUUGUUUAGCUCUGAACCCCAUUUUUUAAUAGGGUUAUUUGUCUCCCUUCGGUCUAACUUCUUGAGUUCUUUGUUUAUUUUGGAUAUAAGGCCUCUAUCUGUUGUAGGAUUGGUAAAGAUCUUUUCCCAAUCUGUUGGUUGCCGAUUUGUCGAACCACAGUGUCCUUUGCCUUACAGAAGCUUUGCAGUUUUAUGAGAUCCCAUUUGUCGAUUCUUGAUCUUAGAGCAUAAGCCAUUGGUGUUUUGUUCAGGAAAUUUUUUCCAGUGCCCAUGUGUUCCAGAUGCUUCCCUAGUUUUUCUUCUAUUAGUUUGAGUGUGUCUGGUUUGAUGUGGAGGUCCUUGAUCCACUUGGACUUAAACUUUGUACAGGGUGAUAAGCAUGGAUCAAUCUGCAUUCUUCUACAUGUUGACCUCCAGUUCAACCAGCACCAUUUGCUGAAAAUGCUAUCUUUUUUCCAUUGGAUGGUUUUGGCUCCUUUGUCAAAAAUCAAGUGACCAUAGGUGUGUGGGUUCAUUUCUGGGUCUUCAAUUCUAUUCCUUUGGUCUAUCUGUCUGUCUGUGUACCAAUACCAUGCAGUUUUUAUCAGUAUUGCUCUGUAAUACUGCUUGAGUUCAGGGAUAGUGAUUCCCCCUGAAGUCCUUUUAUUGUUGAGGAUAGCUUUAGCUAUCCUGGGUUUUUGGUUAUUCCAGAUGAAUUUGCAAAUUGUUCUGUCUAACUCUUUGAAGAAUUGGAUUGUUAUUUUGAUGGGGAUUGCAUUGAAUCUGUAGAUCGCUUUUGGUAAGAUGACCAUUUUUACUAUAUUAAUCCUGCCAAUCCAUGAGCAUGGGAGAUCUUUCCAUCUUCUGAGGUCUUCUUCAAUUUCUUUCUUCAGAGUCUUGAAGUUCUUAUUGUACAGAUCUUUUACUUGCUUGGUUAAAGUCACGCCGAGGUACUUUAUAUUAUUUGGGUCUAUUAUGAAGGGUGUCGUUUCCCUAAUUUCUUUCUCAGUUGUUUCUCUUUUGUGUAGAGGAAGGCUACUGAUUUAUUUGAGUUAAUUUUAUGUCCAGCCACUUUACUGAAGUUGUUUAUUAGCUUUAGUAGUUCUCUGGUGGAACUUUUGGGAUCACUUAAAUGUACUAUCAUAUCAUCUGCAAAUAGUGAUAUUUUGACUUCUUCUAUUCCAAUCUGUAUCCCCUUGACCUCCUUUUGUUGUCUGAUUGCUCUGGCUAGAACUUCAAGAACUGUAUUGAAUAAGUAGGGAGAGAGUGGGCAGCCUUGUCUAGUCCCUGAUUUUAGUGGGAUUGCUUCAAGUUUCUCUCCACUUAUUUUAAUGUUAGCAAUUGGUUUGCUGUAUAUGGCUUUUACUAUGUUUAGGUAUGGGCCUUGAAUACCUUUCUUUCCAGGACUUUUAUCAUGAAGGGGUGUUGAAUUUUGUCAAAUGCUUUCUCAGCAUCUAAUGAAAUGAUCAUGUGGUUCUGUUCUUUCAGUUUGUUUAUAUGAUGGAUCACGUUGAUGGUUUUCCGUAUAUUAAACCAUCCCUGCAUGCCUGGGAUGAAGCCUACUUGAUCAUGGUGGAUGAUUGUUUUGAUGUGCUCUUGGAUUUGGUUUGCCAGAAUUUUAUUGAGUAUUUUUGCGUCUAUAUUCAUAAGGGAAAUUGGUCUAAGUUCUCUUUCUGUGUUGGGUCUGUGUGUGGUUUGGGUAUAAGAGUAAUUGUGGCUUCAUAGAAGGAAUUUGGUAGUGCUCCAUCUGUUUUAAUUUUGUGGAAUAGUUUGGAUAGUAUUGGUAUGAGGCCUUCUAUGAAGGUCUGAUAGAAUUCUGCACUGAACCCGUCUGGACCUGGGCUCUUUUUUGUUGGGAGACCUUUAAUGACUGCUACUAUUUCCUUAGGAGUUAUGGGGUUGUUUAACUGGUUUAUCUGUUCCUGAUUUAACUUCGGUACCUGGUAUCUGUCUAGCAAAUUGUCCAUUUCCUGCAGAUUUUCAAGUUUUGUUGAACGUAGGCUUUUAUAGUAAGAUCUGAUGAUUUUUUGAAUUUCGUCUGAAUCUGUAGUUAUGUCUCCCUUUUCAUUUCUGAUUUUGUUAAUUUGGAAACACUCUCUGUGUCCUCUAGUUGGUCUGGCUAAGGGUUUAUCUAUCUUAAUGAUUGUCUCAAAGAACCAUCUUUUGGUUCUGUUGAUUCUUUCUAUGGUCCAUUUGUUUCUACUUGGCUGAUUUCAGCUCUGAGUUUGAUUAUUUCCUGCCUUCUACUCCUCCUGGGUGUAUUUGCUUCUUUUUGUUCUAGAGCUUUUAGGUGUGCUGUCAAGCUGGUGACAUAUGCUGUUUCCUGUUUCUUUCUGCAGGCACUCAGAGCUAUGGGUUUUCCUCUUAGCACAGCUUUCAUUGUGUCCCAUAAGUUUGGGUAUGUUGUACCUUCGAUUUCAUUAAAUCUAAGAAGUCUCUAUUUUCUUUCUUUAUUUCUUCCUUAACUAGGUUAUCAUUGAGUAGAGCAUUGUUCAACUUCCACGUAUAUGUGGGCAUUCUUCCAUUAUUGUUAUUGAAGACCAGAUUUAGGCCGUGGUCGUCUGAUAGCACCCAUGGGAUUAUUUCUAUCUUUCUGUACCUGUUGAGGCCUGUUUUUUGACCAAAUAUAUGGUCAAUUUUGGAGAAAGUACCAUGAGGACCUGAGAAGAAUGUAUAUCCUUUUGCUUUAGGAUAGAAUGUUCUAUAAAUAUCUGUUAAGUCUAUUUGGUUCAUGAUUUCUCUUAGUCUGUCUACGUCUCUGUUUAAUUAGUGUUUCCAUGAUCUGUCCAUUGAUGAGAGUGGGGUGUGGAAAUCUCCUACUAUUAUUGUGUGAGGUGCAAUGUGUGUUUUGAGCUUUAGUAAGGUUUCCUUUACGUAUGUAGGUGCCCUUGUAUUUGGGGCAUAGAUAUUUAGGAUUGAGAGUUCAUCUUGGUGGAUUUUUCCUUUGAUGAAUAUGAAGUGUCCUUCCUUAUCUUUUUUGAUGACGUUUAGUUGGAAAUUGAUUUUAUUUGAUAUUAGAAUGGCUACUCCAGCUUGCUUCUUCAGACCAUUUGCUUGGAAAGUUGAUUUCCAGCCUUUCACUCUGAGGUAGAGUCUGUCUUUGUCUCUGAGGUGUGUUUCCUGUAGGGAAUGCAGGGUCCUCAUUGCAUAUCCAGUGUGUUAAUCUGUGUAUUUUUAUUGGGGAGUUGAGGCCAUUGAUGUUGAGAGAUAUUCAGGAAUAGUGAUUAUUGCUUCCUGUUAUGUUCAUAUUUGGAUGUGAGGUUAUGUUUGUGUGCUUUUCUUCUUUUUGUUUUGUUUCCAAGACGAUUUGUUUCUUGCUUUUUCUAGGGUGUAGCUUGCCUUCUUAUGUUGGCCUUUACCAUUUAUUAUCCUUUGUAGUGCUGGAUUUGUAGAAAGAUAUUGUGUAAAUUUGGUUUUGUCCUGGAAUAUCUUGGUUUCUCCAUCUAUGUUAAUUGAGAGUUUUGCAGGAUAAAGUAACCUGGGCUGGCAUUUGUGUUCUCUUAAGGUCUGUAGGCCAUCUGUCCAGGACCUUUUGGCUUUCACAGUUUCUGGUGUGAUUCUGAUAGGUCUGCCUUUAUGUUACUUGACCUUUUUCCCUUACUGCUUUUAAUAUUCUUUAUUUUGUGUGUUUGAUCUUUUGACUAUUAUGUGACGGGAGCUGUUUCUUUUCUGGUCCAAUCUAUUUGGAGUUCUCUAGGCUUCGUGUAUGCUUAUGGGUAUCUCUUCCUUUAGGUUAGGGAAGUUUUCUUCUAUGAUUUUGUUGAAGAUAUUUACUGGUCCUUUGAGCUGGGAGUCUUCACUCUCUUCUAUACCUAUAUCCUUAGGUUUGAUCUUCUCAUUGAAUCCUGGAUUUCCUGUAUGUUUUGGACCAGUAGCUUUUUCUGCUUUACAUUAUCUUUCACAGUUGAGUCGAUAGUUUUCUAUAGAAUCUUCUGCUCCUGAGAUUCUCUCUUCUAUCUCUUGUAUUCUGUUGGUGAAGCUCGUAUCUACAGCUCCUUGUCUCUUCUUUUGGUUUUCUAUAUUCAGGGUUGUUUCCAUGUGUUCUUUCUUGAUUGAUUCUAUUUCCAUUUUUAAUUCCUUCAAGUGUUUGUGUUUUCCUGGAAUCCUUUCAGGGAUUUUUGUGAUUCCUCUCUGUAGGCUUCUACUUGUUUAUGUUUUCCUGCGUUUCUCUAAGGGAGUUCUUCAUGUCUUUCUUGAAGUCCUCCAGCAUCGAUCAAAUAUGAUUUUGAAACUAGAUCUUGCUUUUCUGGUGUGUUUGGAUAUUCCGUGUUUGCUUUGGUUGGAGAAUUGGGAUCCGAUGAUGUCAUGUAGUCUUGGUUUCUGUUGCUAGGGUUCCUGUGCUUGCCUCUCGCCAUCAGAUUAUCUCUAGUGUUUCUUUGUUCUGCUAUUUCUGACAGUGGCUAGACUGUCCUAUAAGCCUGUGUGUCAGGAGUGCUGUAGACCUGUUUUCCUGUUUUCUUUCAGCCAGUUAUGGGAACAGAGUGUUCUGCUUUGGGGCGUGUAGUUUUUCCUAUCUACAGGUCUUCAGCUGUUCCUGUGGGCCUGUGCCCUGAAUUCACCAGGCAGGUCACCUGGAGCAGAAAAGUUGGUCUUACCUGUGGUCCCAAGGCUCAAGAUUGCUCGUGGGGUGUUGCUAAUGAUCUCUCCUCAGGGGCAGCAACCAGGCGGACCUGCGCUGCCCUUUCCGGGAGCCCCCCGUGCACCAGAGUCCCAGAUGGCGUUUGGUGUUUUCCUCUGGAGUCAGAGAUGUGGGCAGAGUGCAGUCUCUUCUGGUUUACCAGUCGUGUCUGCCUCUCUGACGGUUUAGCUCUCCCUCUCCCAGGAUUUGGGUGCAGAGAACCGUUUAUCUGGCUGGUCCCUUCAGGUUCCUGCGGUGUCUCAGACGCAGUGGACCUGCUGCUCCUGUGCCCUUAUCUACGGGAACCCAGAGACCGUUUCCUCUUGGGCCAGGGAUAUGGGCAGGGGUGGGCAGUGUUGGUGGUCUCUUCUGCUCUGCAGUCUCAGGAGUGCCCACCUGUCCGGGCGGUGAGCUCUGUCUCCCACGGGGUUUGGGAGCAGUGAGCUGGAGGCAGGGAGCACGAGAUUCGGACUCCCGCUAAAAACUGGAAGUGUCCGGUCCUCCCACGGGGUUUGGGAGCCAUACAUCACUUUCUUUAUUCAUUGUUCAGUAGAGGCACAUCCAGGUUGUUUCCAGAUUCUGGUUAGUAUGAACAAAGCUACUAUGAACAUAGUUUGACAAGUGGUUCUUUGGUACAGUGUGACAUCUUUAUGACUACACACCCAGGAGCGUUAUAGCUGGCCCUUGAGGUAGAACAGUUUUUUUCUCUCAGUUUUGUGAGAAACCACCCAAUUGAUUUCCAAAGUUGUUGUUCAAAGUUUCACGUCCAUCAGUGAUGGAUUAGUGUUCCCUUUGCUCCACAACCUGCCAGCAUUCACUCUCACUUGAGUUUUUCAUCUUUGCUUUUGUGAUGGGUGUCAAAUGACAUGUCAGAGUGGUUUUGAGUAAGCAGCUCUUGGUUUUGUUCAUUCUUUGUAUUGUUUCCCAUGUUUCUAUGUUUAAUUUUCAUACCAUCUUCUCUUGAGCGUGUAUGCUUCUGUUUUUAUUUUUAAUAUUGCAUAUGUGCUGAUUAGCUGCUAUUAUGAAAUCUCUCCAUUUCUUUUGAAGGGACAUAGUGUUAUGAACUUUCCUUUUGCACUGCUUUUAUUGUGUUCCCUAAGUUUGUAUGAUUUGUGCCUUCACUUUCAUUGAAUUCUAGAAAGACUUUUCUUCUUUCAACAGUGGUCACUUAGCAUAGAGUUGUUCAGUUUCCAUGAGAUUGUAGGCUUUCCAUUGUUUUUGUUGUUGACAUAGUCCAACUUUAGUCCAUGGUGACCUUAUCAGACACAAAAGCAUUUUGGUGUUCUUUUGUUGUUGUUGUUUUUGUAUUUUCUUGUAUCUGUUGUAGAUCUGUAUCUGUACAUGUUCAAUUUUGGAGAAGGUUCCAUGAGGUGCUGAGAAGAUACAUAUUUUUUUAUUUGAGUGACAGCUUCUAUAGAUAUAUGUUGUUGUAAAAAUAUUAAAAUAAAAAAGUAAAAGUUGUCUUUUACCCCGCUAGGUCCGCACCUCGGUGCCCCAAGAUAUCUGCUAGAUAUCUUGGCGGAAACACAGCCCAGCCGCACAUUUUCCUACACUCAAACCCUCACAUAAAAGAACACACAACACAAUAAUCUUUGAUCCAAUUGGUAAGGUAUAGUUGCCACUUAAACAUACAAGGCCUGGUACCAUCCAUCCCUUAGGAAGAUUGAUAACAACCUGUAAAUACACAGAGCAGAAUCUUAACAUCACCUGCCAUGGCUCCUCCCCCCUCUCUCUCCUCUUCUCUGUGUUAAUCCCCUUCUCUUCCUUCAAGCUUCUCUCCUGCCCAUCCUUGCUUCUCCUCCAGUGUCAGGUCUCCUACUAUCCUGUACCUGCCCCUCACCUGUAUUUUACAAAUUCAAUGGGGAGGUGGUUCUGGUGAAGUCAUCUGAGUUCUGAGUAUGUGACUAGGCAGCUGUCCUUGGGGCAGUGGAAUUAGCAUCAAAAUACAGAAACUUCAGGGCAAACCACCACAGAUAUCUGUUAGGUCCAUUUGAUUCAUGUCAUCUACUAGUUGCAUUACAUUUCAGUUUAGUUUCUCUUUUGGUGACAUGCCUGUUGGUCAUUAACGUGAUAAUAUGUAGGUGAUGUCCCCUACUAUUAAUGUGUGGAAUUGGAGGUGUGGUUUAAGCUUUAACAAAAUUAGUAAAUGUUUCUUUUGUAAAGGAGGAUGCACUUGUAUCGCAAGCAUUGAUGUUUAGAAUUGAAGCACCAUCUUGUUGGAUUUUCCUUUGAUUUAUAUGCAGUGUCCUUUCCCAUCUCUUUUAAUUAUUUCUCAUUGAAAGUCUAUUUUACCAGAUAUUAGAUUGGCUGCUGCAGCUUGACUCUUGGGUCCAUUUGCUUUACAGACCUUUUGUCCAGUCCUUUAUUCUGUGGCAGUGAUUAUCUUUGUGGCUGAGUUGCAUUUCUAUAUGCAACAGAAGCAUAGAUUCUGUUUAUGCAUCUACUCUCUUAGACUAUGUCUUUUUAUUUGGUAAGUGAAUCUGUUCCUGUUCAGAGAUAUUAAUAAUUAAUGAUUGCUUUUACUUGGUAUUUUGAUUUUGGUUUGCAUGUGUUUCUCUUGGUUGGUUUUACUAUGCGAUUAUUAGUUUCUCGUGUUUCAUUGAGUUCAGUUACUCUCCUUGUCUUGGAGUUUUGCUUGUAGCAUCCUGAUUAGUGAUGGGUUAGUAGAAAGAUAUAGUUUGCGUUUGGUUUUGUCACAGAAUAGCUUUUUACUCCAUCUUGAGUAAAAUUGAUUGAAAAUUUUGCUAAGUAUUGUAGUCUGGGCUGACAGCUAUAGUCUCUUAGGGUCUGUAAGACAUCUCUCUGGCUCUUCUGGCUUUUAAUUCUCUGUUGAGAAGUUUGGUAUAAUUCUGAUUGUUCUGUCUUUAUAUGUAAUAUGUUACUUGCCUCUUUCUCCUUGUGGCUUUUUAAUUUUCUCUCUUUGUUUUGGGGAUUUAAUGUUUUGGUUAUUAUGUAGCUGGAGGAUUUAUUUUCUGACACAGUAAACUCUUAUUUGUACUGUAAGCUUCUUGUGUGUAUGUAGGCAUCUUUUUCUUGAGGUUUGGGAUGUUUUCUUCUAUGAUGUUGUUGAAGAUAUUUUCUGGGCCUUUCAUCUGGGAAUCUUCUUCUCCUGUUCCUAUUUUUCUUAAGUUUGGCCCUGAUUCCACAUCCAGCCUAUCAGGCUGUGCCUUUUUAAUGGGGAAGAUGAGUUCACUGAUAUUGAGAGAUAUUAACAACAAAUGAGUGUUAAUUCCUGCCAUUCUCAUUUUGUGAAUGAGUGAUUAUUAUUUAUUUUUGUUAACACCAAUCAAUUUGGUGUUCUGUAAGGUUCCUCUAAGUUUAUAGGCAUUCUUCCUUUAUGUUGUAUAAAUUUCCUUCUAUGAUUUUGUUGAACAUGUGUUCUCAUCUUUGGAGCUGGUACUCUCUUCACUUUUGAACAAUUCCUAUUAUCCUUAGUACAAAAUUUCACAGUGUCUCAGACUACCUGAAUAUUUUGAGUCAGUAACUUUUUAGGUGAUAUUUUCUUUGGUUGACGUAUUAAUUUCUUUGAGUAUAUCAUGUAUGCCUGAGAUCAUCUCUUCCAAUUCUUUUAUUGUGUUGGCUGUGCUUCUGUUCUUGUUCUCUUUUGGAGUAUUUCUGUCUCCAAGGUUCCAUCAUUUUGGGUUGCCUUUAUUGCUUCUUUAAUCAUUUGCAGGUGUUGACAUAUUUUAUUCAUUUUGCUCACCUGUUUGAUUGUAUUUUCCUGUAUAUUUUAAGGGAUUUGAUAAUUUCUCCUUUAAAUUCCUCUAUCAUAUUCAUAAGAUUGGAUUCAAUGUCAUUUUAUUGUGUUUUGAUUUUAUUCGCAUAUCCAGGUCUUGAUGUAGUAGGAUAGCUGGGCUCCAGGUGUGUUAUAUUGUUUUGUUCUUGUUGAGUGUAUUCUCAUGCUGGCCUUUAGCCAACUCUUUAUCCAUGGGUGUUUACUGGUGCAAGAGUCAUGAAGUGGGCUCUGGGUUUUUCUCUUUUUAGGGGUUAGGUUAAGAUAUGGUCUCACUAAAUUGUAGCUUUCUUUGUCUAAGGAAUCACAGUGAUCCAUAUGCUUUUGCUUCCUCAGUGUUGGGAUUCAUGUUGUGCGCCACCAGACCCAAUCUGUUAUUCUUUCAAGAAUCAUUAGCCCAGAGUAAAAGGAAUCACAGUUGAUUGUUUUUAUACUGGUAAGGAUUGGGUUUUCUGUCAUUCUGAGAGAGUUCAGUUAGGAUCAUCACAAUUGUUCACGGGUAUUUAUUUCUAGACAUUGAUGUUUGAUAAAUUACUGCCAUCUUUGAUUUGAAAUAUACAGGGAAUGGAUUGGUUCUAAGUGACGUAAUUGGCUACAAAUGAAUAUUUACUCUAGAGUACUCAAUAGAUUGUUCUCAUAGACAUUGAUACUAAAAAUGAGUUUCAUAAUUUUAUUUGUAAUAUUCUUCUAUACUUGUAAUAAUACACAUUUUGUUUUUAUUUUCAGAAGUCUUGUUUUUUAAAGAUGAAAGGCCUUUGUCCUGGUAAGGCUUAACAGUACAUUAGUACUAGAGGAGUGCAAAGAUAAAAAGCAAAUUCUUUUUGGGUAUACUUUGAGACUUGUGUCUUACAGGUCCCACAGUAUUCUGAAUAUAAUUUUAGCCUAAAAUUUGUUCAGUGUACUUUAUAUGAAUGUGAAAAGUAUGCUCACAAGUAUGCCAUUUCCAAGAAAAAACUAUGCAGUUUUUAAAAAGAGCCUGCUAGGAUUAACUCUGCAAGUUAAUGUCCACUUAAGAUUCUUCAGCUUUUCAAAGCCUUACUAAAUUGUAUUUGUGGACUAAGACCCACACUCAUAGUUAUCAUUUCAGGCAUUCAUCUCUCUGACACGGUACAUAAUGUGGGAUGAUUCUCAGUUGUCAGUCAUUACUACAAGAUGGCAACCAUUUCUUUCCUCCUUUGACACCAGCUAUGAAGGCAAAGGAACUUUUUGUCAGGUGUAGCAUAUAUCAUAUAUCUUAGAAGAAACGCAUGAGUUGCAGUCCAUCCAAUGAAAGGCUGAGAUUCCAUGAAGGUGGAUAUUAACAUUUCUCACUUUACAUUUAUAGGUUGUUAUGGCUAUUCUUAAGGGAUGGAUAUAUACUGGUUUGUGUGUGUCUAGAUGAACUAACUAUAUCUUACCUAAGUGGGUGGUUUAUGUCCUUAUCAAUUGGUUGUAAGUUGAUUGUGCAAAUGUAUUGUUCAUUAAGUAAUUAACAUAUGACUGUGGGUUACAGUUGCUGGGUUACAGUUUGUUGAGUCAUGACUUCACUGGAUUGUUGGGAGUGUGAGAAGAGUCUGUGACAGGAAGCGGUGCUAGGCUAUGGAAUGCUUGGGGCUAGCUUGGCAUGUGGCCACACUAGCAUGGCCCACAGAACAACCCGCUAUGGAGACAGUGUGUGAAAAUGGAUGACAGAGAAACAUCUAGAGCAUGUGAUUGCACCUGGCAUGGGAACUCAUGGGAACCAGUCAUUCACCU
Non-coding RNA from Rattus norvegicus (Norway rat), 25248 nucleotides. Lineage: Eukaryota; Metazoa; Chordata; Mammalia; Rodentia; Muridae. The record is from RefSeq and is a predicted model, not a curated record.